RNAcentral lists this ribosomal RNA (228 nucleotides) under uncultured bacterium. Its description in RNAcentral is "partial 16S ribosomal RNA". It matches the Rfam family "Bacterial small subunit ribosomal RNA", at positions 118 to 347 of the family's 1533-position model. The record is from RNAcentral.
UGAGCAACCUGCCCUUGACACUGGAAUAACAGUUGGAAACAGCUGCUAAUACCGGAUAUGACCUCUGACGACAUCGUCUGGAGGUGGAAAGCUCCGGCGGUCAAGGAUGGGCUCGCGGCCUAUCAGCUUGUUGGCGGGGUGAUGGCCUACCAAGGCGACGACGGGUAGCCGGCCUGAGAGGGCGACCGGCCACACUGGGACUGAGACACGGCCCAGACUCCUAGGGAG